Molecule: ribosomal RNA, 253 nt
Filed under: uncultured bacterium
Lineage: Bacteria
Description: partial 16S ribosomal RNA
Rfam family: Bacterial small subunit ribosomal RNA
Source: RNAcentral
UACGGAGGGUGCAAGCGUUAAUCUGAAUUACUGGGCGUAAAGCGCACGUAGGCGGAUCGUUAAGUCAGGGGUGAAAUCCUGGAGCUCAACUCCAGAACUGCCUUUGAUACUGGCGACCUUGAGUUCGGGAGAGGUGAGUGGAACUGCGAGUGUAGAGGUGAAAUUCGUAGAUAUUCGCAAAAACACCAGUGGCGAAGGCGGCUCACUGGCCCGAUACUGACGCUGAGGUGCGAAAGCGUGGGGAGCAAACAGG